UACAGGGGGUGCAAACGUUGCUCGGAAUCAUUGGCGUAAGCAGCACGUAGGCGGUUCGUUAUGUCGGAUGUGAAAGCCCUUGGCUUAACCGAGGAAGUGCAUCCGAAACUGGCGAGCUAGAGUACUAAAGAGGAUCGCGGAAUUCCCGGUGUAGAGGUGAAAUUCGUAGAUAUCGGGAGGAACACCGGUGGCGAAGGCGGCGAUCUGGGUAGAUACUGACGCUGAGGUGCGAAAGCGUGGGGAGCAAACAGG
Molecule: ribosomal RNA, 252 nt
Filed under: uncultured bacterium
Lineage: Bacteria
Description: partial 16S ribosomal RNA
Rfam family: Bacterial small subunit ribosomal RNA
Source: RNAcentral